AAAAAUAUAUUCAUUUCGGUGAAAUCUAAGUGUUGAGUUUGCUCUUCACAAGACUAGAUUUCAUACCUCAAGA
This 73-nucleotide small RNA is filed under the name Arabidopsis thaliana (thale cress). RNAcentral's name for it is "ATSL089580". The record is from RNAcentral. Lineage: Eukaryota; Viridiplantae; Streptophyta; Magnoliopsida; Brassicales; Brassicaceae.